RNAcentral lists this ribosomal RNA (371 nucleotides) under uncultured bacterium. RNAcentral's name for it is "bacterial SSU rRNA". It matches the Rfam family "Bacterial small subunit ribosomal RNA", at positions 527 to 896 of the family's 1533-position model. The record is from RNAcentral.
GGAGGGUGCGAGCGUUGUCCGGAAUCAUUGGGCGUAAAGGGCGCGUAGGUGGCCUGGCAAGCGUGCGGUGAAAGCUCGGGGCUCAACCCCGAGUCGGCCGUGCGAACUGCUGGGCUCGAGCACUGUAGAGGCAGGCGGAAUUCCGGGUGUAGCGGUGGAAUGCGUAGAGAUCCGGAAGAACACCGGUGGCGAAGGCGGCCUGCUGGGCAGUGGCUGACACUGAGGCGCGACAGCGUGGGGAGCAAACAGGAUUAGAUACCCUGGUAGUCCACGCCGUAAACGAUGGGCACUAGGCGCUUGGGGGAGCGACCCUCCGAGGGCCGGCGCUAACGCAUUAAGUGCCCCGCCUGGGGAGUACGGCCGCAAGGCUG